CACGUCACAAAAGAAGGACUUAGAGCGAAAAUAUCCCUCUCCAUACCAAAACGUGCGGAUCUAGCCGCAUCUGGAUCGGGUCAUCGGGUAUGGCUCAAUACGGCACCGUUUUAGAGCCAUUGGAAUGAGCUUCAAACGGUGUCGUUUUAUGGUCUGCAUAAAGCUAAAAAUAAAACAAAUGUAUUAAGCCAUUUUACAAUAGAUUUGCAAACCCUAGCUUCCCCCCUCGUCGUUCUCAAGUCUUCCCCUUCAAACUCCGAUUGCGACAGAGUGACAAGGAUUUCACGGUGCUAAAAUAAAGGUAAGCCUUCGCCUAUCUCUUUUCUCAAACAAUAAGCAAACAUCAACGAAAAAAAAAACUAAGGAAAUAGGAAAUAAACUAAAUGAAAAGAAGAAUCAAAUCACCUUCGAAAAUUAUGAUUUUUUACUGCUUUUUUUUCAAUUUCUGAUUUUCGUCCCCUGUUACAGCAUUGAGUCUGCUUUUUAUAGCAGACUAUGGAAAAAGAAAAAGGUAAGAAACAUCUAAUUUAAAACGCAUCAUUUGCUCGCUGAUUUUUUCGAUUUUUUUGCUAUUCUACCUAUACUGUUUGUUGUCAUCUUUACUGUGCAGGUACAGGCUUGGAGGUAGCGCACGCGUGCGGUGGUGCAGCACGCGCGAGGGAGGCCUUGGCUGCUGCGGCGCUGAGAGCUGGAUGCUGCUCUAGAAACCCUAGGGAUUUCUGAAAACUGCUUCGGGCUUCAAUGUAAUUGGACCUUAUAAUUUUGGAUUUUAUUUUUGGGCUAUGGACUGUUUAAUGUUGGACUUUUAUUUUUUUAUUUAGUUUUUUAUUGUUAUCGGGCCCGGGCAAAAAUUGGGCCUUGCAGUAUAUUUUGUACAAUGAAAUACUCGAUAAUAAGUAUUCUAAGGAUUGUACCUCUGAGAGAAAUA
This 928-nucleotide long non-coding RNA is filed under the name Gossypium barbadense (sea-island cotton). Its description in RNAcentral is "long non-coding RNA (GBAR_LNC018951)". The record is from RNAcentral. Lineage: Eukaryota; Viridiplantae; Streptophyta; Magnoliopsida; Malvales; Malvaceae.